Molecule: ribosomal RNA, 492 nt
Filed under: uncultured bacterium
Lineage: Bacteria
Description: partial 16S ribosomal RNA
Rfam family: Bacterial small subunit ribosomal RNA
Source: RNAcentral
AGUGAACGCUGGCGGUAGGCCUAACACAUGCAAGUCGAACGGCAGCACAGUAAGAGCUUGCUCUUACGGGUGGCGAGUGGCGGACGGGUGAGGAAUACAUCGGAAUCUACUUUUUCGUGGGGGAUAACGUAGGGAAACUUACGCUAAUACCGCAUACGACCUACGGGUGGAAGCAGGGGAUCUUCGGACCUUGCGCGAUUGAAUGAGCCGAUGUCGGAUUAGCUAGUUGGCGGGGUAAAGGCCCACCAAGGCGAGGAUCCGUAGCUGGUCUGAGAGGAUGAUCAGCCACACUGGAACUGAGACACGGUCCAGACUCCUACGGGAGGCAGCAGUGGGGAAUAUUGGACAAUGGGCGCAAGCCUGAUCCAGCCAUACCGCGUGGGUGAAGUAGGCCUUCGGGUUGUAAAGCCCUUUUGUUGGGAAAGAAAAGCAGCAGGUUAAUACCCCGCUGUUCUGACGGUACCCAAAGAAUAAGCACCGGCUAACUUCGUG